This 259-nucleotide ribosomal RNA is filed under the name uncultured archaeon. RNAcentral's name for it is "partial 16S ribosomal RNA". It matches the Rfam family "Archaeal small subunit ribosomal RNA", at positions 748 to 1009 of the family's 1478-position model. The record is from RNAcentral.
AGGGUGUAAACGCUGCAGACUUGGUGUUGGAGGCCCUUUGGGGGCAUUCAGUGCCGGAGAGAAGUUGUUAAGUCUGCUACUUGGGGAGUACGUCCGCAAGGAUGAAACUUAAAGGAAUUGGCGGGGAGCACGCAACGGGAGGAGCGUGCGGUUUAAUUGGAUUCAACACCGUAAAACUCACCAGGGAAGACUGUUACAUGAAGGCCGAGAUGAAGACUCUGCUAGAUUUUCAGAGAGGUGGUGCAUGGCGUAGACGUCU